CCCGUGAAGUGUAUUCCGGCAGUGAGUCGGCGGGGGAUAAGCUCCGUCGUCGAGAGGGAGACAGCCCAGAUCGUCGUCUAAGGUCCCGAAGCGUGUGCUAAGUGGGAAAGGAUGUGGAGUCGCAUAGACAGCCAGGAGGUUGGCUCAGAAGCAGCCACCCUUGAAAGAGUGCGUAACAGCUCACUGGUCUAGUGGUUCCGCGCCGACAAUGUAGCGGGGCUCAAGCACACCACCGAAGACGCGGCAGCAGUUUUUCUGCUGGGUAGGAGAGCGUCCCACACCGGGUCGAAGCGGCCGCGUAAGCGUGUCGUGGACUGUGUGGGAGUGAGAAUGCAGACAUGAGUAGCGAGAGCGGGGUGAGGAUCCCCGCCGCUGGAUGACCAAGGGUUCCAGGGCCACGUUCAUCGUCCCUGGGUGAGUCGGGUCCUAAGGCGAGGCCGACAGGCGUAGUCGAAUGGAUGAACGGGUCGAUAUUCCCGUACCGGCUUGCAGCCGCCCGAUCCGAGGCAGCGAGUACUAACCUCCGUCGUCGUGUGAUGUUCCCUUCGGGGUUCGGAUCGUGGCGGUGUUGGGAGCGUAGUUGUAGUAGGGUAGCGCGAGGAGUGACACGGACGGGUAGCCGGCCGCGGAGGUGGUUUUCCGUGGUCAAGCACGCAGGCCGUUCCCCAGGCAAAUCCGGGGGGCGUCAGGGCCGAGGUGUGAUGAUGGGCGCCGUUGGGCGCGAAUCCGGUGAUCCCGACCGUCGAGAAAAGCUUCGGCGCGAGGCUGUUUGCCGCCCGUACCCCAAACCGACACUGGUGGUCUGGUAGAGUAUACCGAAGCGAUCGAGCGAAUCCUGGUCAAGGAACUCGGCAAAUUGCUCCCGUUCCUUCGGUUUAAGGGAGACCCCCGGUGGUGAGGCGCCUCGCGCGCGGAGCUGUUGGGGGUGGCACAGAAGAGGGGGUAGCGACUGUUUACCAAAAACACAGGUGCAUGCGAAGACGUAAGUCGCUGUAUAUGCACUGACGCCUGCCCGGUGCCGGAAGGUUAAGAGGAUCCGUCAGCUCACGCGAAGCGGUGAAUUCAAGCCCCGGUAAACGGCGGUGGUAACUAUAACCAUCCUAAGGUAGCGAAAUUCCUUGUCGGGUAAGUUCCGACCUGCACGAAUGGCGUAACGACUUCCCCACUGUCUCGACCAGGAGCUCGGCGAAAUUGCAGUACGAGUAAAGAUGCUCGUUAAGCGCAGAAGGACGAAAAG
RNAcentral lists this ribosomal RNA (1237 nucleotides) under Bifidobacterium callitrichos DSM 23973. RNAcentral describes it as "bacterial LSU rRNA". It matches the Rfam family "Bacterial large subunit ribosomal RNA", at positions 962 to 2087 of the family's 2925-position model. The record is from RNAcentral. Lineage: Bacteria; Bacillati; Actinomycetota; Actinomycetes; Bifidobacteriales; Bifidobacteriaceae.